RNAcentral lists this ribosomal RNA (259 nucleotides) under uncultured bacterium. Its description in RNAcentral is "partial 16S ribosomal RNA". It matches the Rfam family "Bacterial small subunit ribosomal RNA", at positions 793 to 1050 of the family's 1533-position model. The record is from RNAcentral.
GUCCACCCCGUAAACGUUGGGAACUAGUUGUGGGGACCAUUCCACGGUUUCCGUGACGCAGCUAACGCAUUAAGUUCCCCGCCUGGGGAGUACGGCCGCAAGGCUAAAACUCAAAGGAAUUGACGGGGACCCGCACAAGCGGCGGAGCAUGCGGAUUAAUUCGAUGCAACGCGAAGAACCUUACCAAGGCUUGACAUAUACGAGAACGGGCCAGAAAUGGUCAACUCUUUGGACACUCGUAAACAGGUGGUGCAUGGUU